Zingiber officinale is the source of this 98-nucleotide small nuclear RNA. The record is from RefSeq and is a predicted model, not a curated record. NCBI's taxonomy places the organism in Eukaryota, Viridiplantae, Streptophyta, Magnoliopsida, Zingiberales, Zingiberaceae.
GUCUCUUCGGAGACAUCCAAUAAAAAUGGAAUGACAUAGAAGAUUAGCAUGGCCCCUACGCAAGGAUAACGUGCAUCCAUAGAGCGACGCUGGUUGAU